CCUACGGGGGGCAGCAGUGAGGAAUAUUGGUCAAUGGACGAGAGUCUGAACCAGCGAAGUAGCGUGAAGGAUGACUGCCCUAUGGGUUGUAAACUUCUUUUAUAAAGGAAUAAAACGAGGCACGUGUGCCUUUUUGCAUGUACUUUAUGAAUAAGGAUCGGCUAACUCCGUGCCAGCAGCCGCGGUAAUACGGAGGAUCCGAGCGUUAUCCGGAUUUGUUGGGUUUAAAGGGAGCGUAGAUGGGUUGUUAAGUCAGUUGUGAAAGUUUGCGGCUCAACCGUAAAAUUGCAAUUGAUACUGGCAGUCUUGAGUACAGUUGAGGUAGGCGGAAUUCGUGGUGUAGCGGUGAAAUGCUUAGAUAUCACGAAGAACCCCGAUUGCGAAGGCAGCUUACUAAACUGUGACUGACAUUGAUGCUCGAAAGUGUGGGUAUCAAACAGGAUUAGAUACCCGUGUAGUC
This 460-nucleotide ribosomal RNA is filed under the name uncultured bacterium. RNAcentral describes it as "partial 16S ribosomal RNA". It matches the Rfam family "Bacterial small subunit ribosomal RNA", at positions 338 to 795 of the family's 1533-position model. The record is from RNAcentral.